UACGGAGGGCGCAAGCGUUGUUCGGAAUUACUGGGCGUAAAGCGCGUGUAGGCGGCCAGGUAAGUCGGAUGUGAAAGCCCGGGGCCCAACACCGGAACUGCACCCGAUACUGCCUGGCUGGAGUCCCGGAGAGGAUGGCGGAAUUUCCGGUGUAGAGGUGAAAUUCGUAGAUAUCGGAAGGAACACCAGUGGCGAAGGCGGCCAUCUGGACGGUGACUGACGCUGAGACGCGAAAUCGUGGGGGGCAAACAGG
RNAcentral lists this ribosomal RNA (253 nucleotides) under uncultured bacterium. RNAcentral describes it as "partial 16S ribosomal RNA". It matches the Rfam family "Bacterial small subunit ribosomal RNA", at positions 524 to 776 of the family's 1533-position model. The record is from RNAcentral.